RNAcentral lists this ribosomal RNA (91 nucleotides) under Clostridia bacterium. RNAcentral's name for it is "partial 23S ribosomal RNA". It matches the Rfam family "Bacterial large subunit ribosomal RNA", at positions 2834 to 2925 of the family's 2925-position model. Lineage: Bacteria; Bacillati; Bacillota; Clostridia. The record is from RNAcentral.
UCACUUGCAGACUACAAGUUUGAUAGGUCGGAGGUGUACGCACAGUAAUGUGUUUAGCUGACCGAUACUAAUAGACCGAGGGCUUGAACUU